RNAcentral lists this ribosomal RNA (301 nucleotides) under uncultured bacterium. RNAcentral's name for it is "partial 16S ribosomal RNA". It matches the Rfam family "Bacterial small subunit ribosomal RNA", at positions 509 to 809 of the family's 1533-position model. The record is from RNAcentral.
CAGCCGCCGCGGUAAUACGUAGGUGGCAAGCGUUGUCCGGAAUUAUUGGGCGUAAAGCGCGCGCAGGCGGAUCAGUUAGUCUGUCUUAAAAGUUCGGGGCUUAACCCCGUGAGGGGAUGGAAACUGCUGAUCUAGAGUAUCGGAGAGGAAAGUGGAAUUCCUAGUGUAGCGGUGAAAUGCGUAGAUAUUAGGAAGAACACCAGUGGCGAAGGCGACUUUCUGGACGAAAACUGACGCUGAAGCGCGAAAGCCAGGGGAGCGAACGGGAUUAGAUACCCGCGUAGUCCCUGUCUCUUAUACA